Molecule: non-coding RNA, 1847 nt
Organism: Nicotiana tabacum (common tobacco)
Lineage: Eukaryota; Viridiplantae; Streptophyta; Magnoliopsida; Solanales; Solanaceae
Source: RefSeq, a predicted model, not a curated record
ACUUCUAAUAGGCCAUGAACUAGAUCAGAAUUGUUGAUGUACGAAUCUCAUAUUGAUAGCUGACAAUAUUGGGACCCUACAUAUAAGGCGUAGGGUUCUUUUAAUGACGUGAGACCUUUUGGAAAAUCUGUACGAGCUUAGUCCAAAAUGGAUAAUAUCACAUCUUAUUAAGAAUAUUUUUGUGUUGGUUAAGCUCAACAUGAAUCUUUCUUAGCAAGUCCGCAAGAAGUGAUCCCACAUUUUAUCGAGUCUGAAUAAACCAAAAGUCUUGAGCGACCGAUCCGGCAAAAUAUCUCAAAAGAUAAAGAAGUAUCAUUAAUUUCUUCAUACUCAUUUCUAAUAAAUUAGAAAGAGUUGAAUUAGGAACCAUUAUGUUUCAUCUGUGUCAGUUUAAGUUUCUUCUUCCAUAUUGGUUGAAUUUACUUUUGCUGUGAGAAUCAAUGUUUUUUAGUUAGUUUUUCUUGUUUGUCAUUCCUACUUUGUCAACCAUUUUAACAAUUAAGCUCCAAGUGGUUAUUUUUUCAGGUCAUUUGCUCACUGUUUAACACGGAACAAGAUGUUCAACAAACAUGUGUUCAUUGUGGGGUUUGUAUGGGGAAGUACUAUUGCUCAAAAUGCAACUUCUUUGAUGAUGAUGUUUCCAAGGAUCAAUACCACUGUGAUAAAUGCGGAAUCUGCAGGAUCAAGUCUUACUAAUAUUGCUCUAAACUUUCAGUUCUUCGAUACAUUUUCCUAAACGUUUUCAUUCAUAUGAACACAAAGUCAACGAUAUCUGAGAAAUUGACCUGGCCUGGUCAUUAAACAUUUCAUCUGAAAUCUCUUAUGAGGAGAAAUUUUAGUAAGAAAUGGCAAAACACUUGCUGGUUAGUUAGCCAUAGAUGCUUCAUCUCGUUCAUUAGAAUUUACUUGUGGGCUGUGAUUGAUCAUGGAUAGUAUUGGAGUGAAAAUUAGGACAUAUUACUUAACAUGCAUGCAUUUUAUGUUUGAAGUGUGUUAUAUCAUGUCUAAUAUUUCCCUUUUUUUUUUCAUUUCCUGCUCAAAAUGCUUAAAUGCAGAACUGGUGGCAACAAUAAUUUCUUUCACUGCAACAGAUGUGACUGCUGUUAUUCAAAUAUGAUGAAGGAAUCACAUAUUUGUGUAGAAAGAGCAAUGCACCAUAAUUGCCCUGUUUGCUUUGAGACAAGUGCUAAAUUUGAGGAAAAACGAAAUUUAGAAGGUUGCGUCGACACCUAUGGCAGAAAUGUAUCAAAACAAGAUGGUUUGGAUUCUUUGCAAUGACUGCGGGGAAACAUCAGAGGUUAACUUCCAUAUUGUCGCACGUAAGUGCCUUAACUGUAAGUCCUAUAACACAAGGCAGACGAGAGGAGGCCCAAGUUCAUGCUCAUCUAGCAUUGAAGAAAUUGUUAGAUGAGGUUUAAGGUUCUUAAAUGGAAACCUAAGAGCGCCAUUCUGUUUCACGUUGUUGUUGUCAAAUGUCAACCAUCGAUCGUUGUAUCAAUGUUCAAGGCAAGUUCAAGGCAACAUCAUUUUAGGGUAUUGAUUUAGCUGUGAACUUUGUGGAUCUUUUGGCUUUAUCCUUUACGACAACAAUUACGACAACAACAACAAUAACUACGCGUCAAUCCCAAAUAAAUUGAGAAACCGAAGUGUAUUGAAAAUUGGGAUGGUUUGGUUCAUUGGCCCAACAACACCCUGGGAUUAGGUUCACUUCUAGUCUAGAAUUAGAAAGAAGACCAAGUAGUCUAAGGCUUGUUAGUGAGCUAGUCUAACCAAAAAACCUUAAGCCAUUUUUUCAUAAUUAGAUCUUUUCUUCUUUUCAUUCUAAAUUACUAAUAUCGUAAUUUGGA